GCCGGGCGUGGUGGCACACUCCUGUAAUCCCAGCUACUUGGGAGGCUGAGGCAGGAGAAUCGUUUGAACCCAGGAGUUGGAGGUUGCAGUGAGCCGAGAUAGCACCACUGCACUCUAGCCUGGGUAACAGAGCGAGACUCCGUCUCAA
Molecule: non-coding RNA, 148 nt
Organism: Homo sapiens (human)
Lineage: Eukaryota; Metazoa; Chordata; Mammalia; Primates; Hominidae
Rfam family: Metazoan signal recognition particle RNA
About the family: The signal recognition particle (SRP) is a universally conserved ribonucleoprotein. It is involved in the co-translational targeting of proteins to membranes. The eukaryotic SRP consists of a 300-nucleotide 7S RNA and six proteins: SRPs 72, 68, 54, 19, 14, and 9.
Source: Rfam